This 353-nucleotide long non-coding RNA is filed under the name Musa acuminata (dwarf banana). Its description in RNAcentral is "long non-coding RNA (MACU_LNC011813)". The record is from RNAcentral. Lineage: Eukaryota; Viridiplantae; Streptophyta; Magnoliopsida; Zingiberales; Musaceae.
UCAUUAAUCAUCUAGUUUAUUUUUUAAUAAGUACUUACAUUAGUAUCCCCACACAAAUAAGACCAGUUAUAUGUACGAGUAUAUUUCUAACUUUAAAAAUAGAUGUCACUCUCUUCUCCGCUUGUAGCUGUUGCCUCUUCUCCUCUUCGAACUCUACCGUGACACAACAAAGUCUGACUUCGUAUUUAACGGUGGGAAGUGAGACAUAAGAUCAAGACAAUGAUCGAAAUAUAUGGCUCGGAUGGCGGCGUUAAUGGCGGCUGUCAAAAGCAGUUGUUGGCCUCGCCAUCGGCAUUCGGAAGAUCGGUCGUUGUGUGCUGACGAUAACCUAUGAGAACUAAAACGUCAAAGCC